AAAUUGAAGAGUUUGAUCAUGGCUCAGAUUGAACGCUGGCGGCAGGCCUAACACAUGCAAGUCGAACGGUAACAGGAAUCAGCUUGCUGAUUUGCUGACGAGUGGCGGACGGGUGAGUAAUGUCUGGGAAACUGCCUGAUGGAGGGGGAUAACUACUGGAAACGGUAGCUAAUACCGCAUAAUGUCGCAAGACCAAAGAGGGGGACCUUCGGGCCUCUUGCCAUCGGAUGUGCCCAGAUGGGAUUAGCUAGUAGGUGGGGUAACGGCUCACCUAGGCGACGAUCCCUAGCUGGUCUGAGAGGAUGACCAGCCACACUGGAACUGAGACACGGUCCAGACUCCUACGGGAGGCAGCAGUGGGGAAUAUUGCACAAUGGGCGCAAGCCUGAUGCAGCCAUGCCGCGUGUAUGAAGAAGGCCUUCGGGUUGUAAAGUACUUUCAGCGGGGAGGAAGGGAGUAAAGUUAAUACCUUUACUCAUUGACGUUACCCGCAGAAGAAGCACCGGCUAACUCCGUGCCAGCAGCCGCGGUAAUACGGAGGGUGCAAGCGU
This 551-nucleotide ribosomal RNA is filed under the name Escherichia coli. Its description in RNAcentral is "bacterial SSU rRNA". It matches the Rfam family "Bacterial small subunit ribosomal RNA", at positions 1 to 541 of the family's 1533-position model. Lineage: Bacteria; Pseudomonadati; Pseudomonadota; Gammaproteobacteria; Enterobacterales; Enterobacteriaceae. The record is from RNAcentral.